Salvelinus sp. IW2-2015 is the source of this 428-nucleotide non-coding RNA. Lineage: Eukaryota; Metazoa; Chordata; Actinopteri; Salmoniformes; Salmonidae. The record is from RefSeq and is a predicted model, not a curated record.
UCCCCCCCAAGAAGUCACAGCAUGUCACAUCAGCAUCCAGCUCUGCAGGAUCAGGAAGCAGAUGUUCUUCUAAGGGACACCYUAGAGGCAGCAAGGUGGCGUGAACUCCAAACAUUUAAAGGCACUGUUUCCCUCCCUAGUGUGAUUGGGAUGGACAGGGAAGACCAUAUUACAAUCCUUAAAGAACUACGGUUGUAUGAUGGCCUGGAUGAAGAGGAAAAUAUUCUCAAGGAACCAUUCAUGUUCCAGAGAGAUUGAGAUGUCAACUGCCUCCACAUCGAACAACAAGAACAUUACUGCCUUUGCCUCUUGAGGAGCAAGAGUGAAGCCAUUUUUGAGGAGUGGUCAAACCUUGUUUUUGUCUGCUGUGUUAAUUGUUUCAAUUGUUAGUUGUGUUAAGUUGUUCAGUAAAGAUGACGUUGAAGUCA